CAUAUGUUUGUUACAAAAGGAUUACAAAAUACAUGUCUUCAAAGAUCAGUUGGCAUUACAAAAGAGUUUUCCAAAAGGAUUACAAAAUACAUAGCAGAAACAUAAUAAUCAGUCCCUCAUUUUGAAGUGGGUAUGUCUUCAUUUUCUGGUAGGGUAAUUGGUUUGUCACUAGAUAUUCCUUCACCUGUUAUGGGUCUUUUAACCAACUCAACUUGAUCCUCUCACUUUGCCUUCUUUUGAUGAUAGGUUUUUUUUUCAACCCUUUUUCUGGAUUGUUUUGUGAUUGAGGCAGCCACACUAGAUCCUGUUUGACUCAUAAUAGUUGGAACAGGCAUAUCAGUUGGAGGCUGUGGAUCAGUUGGAACAGGCACAUUUGUUGGAACAGUCAUAUCAGUUGCAGUUGGGGCAGGCAUAUCAGAUGCAGUUGGCAUAUCAUUUGCAGUUGGCAUAUCAGUUGCAGUUGGCACAUGUCCUUUUUUAGGUUUUCUCU
Molecule: long non-coding RNA, 490 nt
Filed under: Lathyrus oleraceus (garden pea)
Lineage: Eukaryota; Viridiplantae; Streptophyta; Magnoliopsida; Fabales; Fabaceae
Description: Pisum sativum (pea) long non-coding RNA (PSAT_LNC015791)
Source: RNAcentral